Molecule: unclassified non-coding RNA, 474 nt
Filed under: Helichrysum oligochaetum
Lineage: Eukaryota; Viridiplantae; Streptophyta; Magnoliopsida; Asterales; Asteraceae
Description: partial external transcribed spacer
Source: RNAcentral
GUCAUUUUGGUUAAUGGUUGCUUGCCUUGCAUUUGAGCUUGGUUUGUGGCUGUUAGUCGGGUGGUCUCGGGGAUGUCUACCGUAAAGGUGCAUGAGUGGUGUUUGGUUUGUUACGGGUGGUUGGCUCUUUGCUUGCGCAACAACUUCCACCUGGCAUACCUCUUCAUUUUCGUGUCAAUGCUUGUAUCGCAUUGAACGCAUCGCGGGUUUCUUGUGUUGCAUGCCUAACUGAUGGUAUCGUUUCAUGAAUUGAUGUCUGUUUUCGUCUUGUGUCGCACACACGAUACGAGAUGAACCUUGAAGCAACCUUUGUGAUCCACUCCUUUGAUGCACAAACAUUGAUUUUGUGGCUCACUAAGUGUUGCUUGGUCUCAUUGAUAUGGAACCUUGUGUGGGCAUGGGAUCUUUUAGUAGCUCCUUGUUUGCCCUAGUUAAGCUUUUCAAAUACGAUUUCCUACCAUGUCUUAACGUGGU